AAGAUUUUAAGUUAAUUAAACUUUUAACGUUCAAAGUUAAAUUUAUAAAUUAAUCUUAAUUUAUAAAUCUUA
RNAcentral lists this transfer RNA (72 nucleotides) under Megachile strupigera. RNAcentral's name for it is "tRNA-Trp". The record is from RNAcentral. Lineage: Eukaryota; Metazoa; Arthropoda; Insecta; Hymenoptera; Megachilidae.